AGCGAACGCUGGCGGCAGGCCUAACACAUGCAAGUCGAACGAACUCUUCGGAGUUAGUGGCGGACGGGUGAGUAACACGUGGGAACGUGCCUUUAGGUUCGGAAUAACUCAGGGAAACUUGUGCUAAUACCGAAUGUGCCCUUCGGGGGAAAGAUCUAUCGCCUUUAGAGCGGCCCGCGUCUGAUUAGCUAGUUGGUGAGGUAAAGGCUCACCAAGGCGACGAUCAGUAGCUGGUCUGAGAGGAUGAUCAGCCACAUUGGGACUGAGACACGGCCCAAACUCCUACGGGAGGCAGCAGUGGGGAAUCUUGCGCAAUGGGCGAAAGCCUGACGCAGCCAUGCCGCGUGAAUGAUGAAGGUCUUAGGAUUGUAAAAUUCUUUCACCGGGGACGAUAAUGACGGUACCCGGAGAAGAAGCCCCGGCUAACUUCGUG
RNAcentral lists this ribosomal RNA (433 nucleotides) under uncultured bacterium. Its description in RNAcentral is "partial 16S ribosomal RNA". It matches the Rfam family "Bacterial small subunit ribosomal RNA", at positions 29 to 507 of the family's 1533-position model. The record is from RNAcentral.